RNAcentral lists this ribosomal RNA (858 nucleotides) under uncultured bacterium. RNAcentral describes it as "SSU rRNA". It matches the Rfam family "Bacterial small subunit ribosomal RNA", at positions 524 to 1381 of the family's 1533-position model. The record is from RNAcentral.
UACGUAGGGUGCAAGCGUUGUCCGGAAUUAUUGGGCGUAAAGAGCUCGUAGGCGGUUUGUCACGUCUGCUGUGAAAAUCCAAGGCUCAACCUUGGACUUGCAGUGGGUACGGGCAGGCUAGAGUGCGGUAGGGGAGAUGGGAAUUCCUGGUGUAGCGGUGGAAUGCGCAGAUAUCAGGAGGAACACCAAUGGCGAAGGCACAUCUCUGGGCCGUAACUGACGCUGAGGAGCGAAAGCGUGGGGAGCGAACAGGAUUAGAUACCCUGGUAGUCCACGCCGUAAACGGUGGGUGCUAGCUGUGGGCCACAUUCCACGUGGUCCGUGACGAAGUUAACACAUUAAGCACCCCGCCUGGGGAGUACGGCCGCAAGGCUAAAACUCAAAGGAAUUGACGGGGGCCCGCACAAGCGGCGGAGCAUGCGGAUUAAUUCGAUGCAACGCGAAGAACCUUACCAAGGCUUGACAUAUAGAGGAAAAGUGCAGAGAUGCACUCCCCGCAAGGUCUCUAUACAGGUGGUGCAUGGUUGUCGUCAGCUCGUGUCGUGAGAUGUUGGGUUAAGUCCCGCAACGAGCGCAACCCUCGUCCUAUGUUGCCAGCACGUUAUGGUGGGAACUCAUGGGAUACUGCCGGGGUCAACUCGGAGGAAGGUGGGGAUGACGUCAAAUCAUCAUGCCCCUUAUGUCUUGGGCUUCACGCAUGCUACAAUGGCCGGUACAGAGGGCAGCAAUACCGUAAGGUGGAGCGAAUCCCAAAAAGCCGGUCUCAGUUCGGAUUGAGGUCUGCAACUCGACCUCAUGAAGUCGGAGUCGCUAGUAAUCGUAGAUCAGCAACGCUACGGUGAAUACGUUCCCGGGCCU